RNAcentral lists this long non-coding RNA (400 nucleotides) under Hordeum vulgare. RNAcentral's name for it is "long non-coding RNA (HVUL_LNC006264)". Lineage: Eukaryota; Viridiplantae; Streptophyta; Magnoliopsida; Poales; Poaceae. The record is from RNAcentral.
UUGGCCAAGUCGGGUUGCCAAAAUUCACGUUCGGUAAACGGAAAGGGGGAGCUACUCCCAUCCCAUGUCAUUCAUAAGCGUAGGUAGGUGGCCCGACCGACCAAGGGACCAGGAUCCAUGCAUGCACCGGUGCGAGUGAGAUCGAAUCAACCACACCACGGUGCACGGUCCCGGCACCACGCUCGCCAUACCACCUAUUUAUAUCCACGUUCCUCUCGCCCCUCUUCUAUGUGGCGGCAGCUCGCGCAUCACAUCGCAUCACAUUCUGAUUUCUGAAUCUCCGGCAGCAGCUUCGCCUUGCUGAUCCGGUGGUCAGAUGGAGGAGGAGGAAGCUUCGGCGGAGCUGAUCAGCCCCAGGAUCUCCUUCUCGCACGACCUCGCCGCCUUCGCGGCCACCGCN